RNAcentral lists this ribosomal RNA (440 nucleotides) under uncultured bacterium. RNAcentral describes it as "partial 16S ribosomal RNA". It matches the Rfam family "Bacterial small subunit ribosomal RNA", at positions 338 to 795 of the family's 1533-position model. The record is from RNAcentral.
CCUACGAGCGGCUGCAGUGGGGAAUAUUGCACAAUGGGGGAAACCCUGAUGCAGCGACGCCGCGUGAGGGAAGAAGUAUUUCGGUAUGUAAAGCUCUAUCAGCAGGGGAGAAAAUGACGGUACCCGAUGAAGAAGCCCCGGCUAACUACGUGCCAGCAGCCGCGGUAAUACGUAGGGGGCAAGCGUUAUGCGGAUUUACUGGGUGUAAAGGGAGCGUAGACGGCAGGACAAGUCUGGAGUGAAAUGCCGGGGCUUAACCCCGGAAUUGCGUUGGAAACUGUGCAGCUAGAGUGCCGGGGAGGUAAGUGGAAUUCCUAGUGUAGCGGUGAAAUGCGUAGAUAUUAGGAGGAACCCCAGUGGCGAAGGCGGCUUACUGGACUGUAACUGACGUUGAGGCUCGAAAGCGUGGGUAGCAAACAGGAUUAGAUACCCCAGUAGUC